UACGGAGGGUGCAAGCGUUGUUCGGAUUUAUUGGGCGUAAAGCGCGUGUAGGCGGUUUCUUAAGUCUGAUGUGAAAGCCCUGGGCUCAACCCAGGAAGUGCAUUGGAUACUGGGAGACUUGAAUACGGGAGAGGGUAGUGGAAUUCCUAGUGUAGGAGUGAAAUCCGUAGAUAUCAGGAGGAACACCGGUGGCGAAGGCGGCUAUCUGGACAGAAACUUACGCUGAGGCGCGAAAGCUAGGGGAGCAAACAGG
Molecule: ribosomal RNA, 253 nt
Filed under: uncultured bacterium
Lineage: Bacteria
Description: partial 16S ribosomal RNA
Rfam family: Bacterial small subunit ribosomal RNA
Source: RNAcentral